CAGUCGCCGCGGGAAUACGAAGGGGGCUAGCGUUGCUCGGAAUGACUGGGCGUAAAGCGUGCGUAGGCGGCUUCUUAAGUCGGAUGUGAAAUCCCUGAGCUUAACUUAGGAAUUGCAUUCGAUACUGGGAAGCUAGAGUAUGGGAGAGGAUGGUAGAAUUCCAGGUGUAGCGGUGAAAUGCGUAGAGAUCUGGAGGAAUACCGAUGGCGAAGGCAGCCAUCUGGCCUAAUACUGACGCUGAGGUACGAAAGCAUGGGGAGCAAACAGGAUUAGAUACCCCCGUAGUCCCUGUCUCUUAUAC
RNAcentral lists this ribosomal RNA (301 nucleotides) under uncultured bacterium. RNAcentral's name for it is "partial 16S ribosomal RNA". It matches the Rfam family "Bacterial small subunit ribosomal RNA", at positions 509 to 807 of the family's 1533-position model. The record is from RNAcentral.